GUAGGGAAUAUUGCGCAAUGGACGAAAGUCUGACGCAGCGACGCCGCGUGAGUGAUGAAGGCCUUAGGGUCGUAAAGCUCUGUUGAAUGGGAAGAAAAAAAUGACGGUACCAUUCGAGGAAGGACCGGCUAACUUCGUGCCAGCAGCCGCGGUAAUACGAGGGGUCCUAGCGUUGUUCGGAAUCAUUGGGCGUAAAGGGUGUGUAGGUGGCCAUGUAAGUCAGGUGUGAAAGCCCCGGGCUCAACCCGGGAAGUGCACUUGAUACUGCGUGGCUGGAGUACCGAAGAGGGUAGUGGAAUUCCAGGUGUAGUGGUGAAAUACGUAGAUAUCUGGAGGAACACCGGUGGCGAAGGCGGCUACCUGGUCGAGUACUGACACUGAGACACGAAAGCAUGGGGAUCAAACAGGAUUAGAAACCCCAGUAGUCC
RNAcentral lists this ribosomal RNA (428 nucleotides) under uncultured bacterium. RNAcentral describes it as "partial 16S ribosomal RNA". It matches the Rfam family "Bacterial small subunit ribosomal RNA", at positions 354 to 796 of the family's 1533-position model. The record is from RNAcentral.